UACACUCCUGCGGGAGGCAGCAGUGGGGAAUAUUGGACAAUGGGCGCAAGCCUGAUCCAGCCAUGCCGCGUGAGUGAUGAAGGCCCUAGGGUUGUAAAGCUCUUUCACCGGUGAAGAUAAUGACGGUAACCGGAGAAGAAGCCCCGGCUAACUUCGUGCCAGCAGCCGCGGUAAUACGAAGGGGGCUAGCGUUGUUCGGAUUUACUGGGCGUAAAGCGCACGUAGGCGGACUAUUAAGUCAGGGGUGAAAUCCCGGGGCUCAACCCCGGAACUGCCUUUGAUACUGGUAGUCUUGAGUUCGAGAGAGGUGAGUGGAAUUCCGAGUGUAGAGGUGAAAUUCGUAGAUAUUCGGAGGAACACCAGUGGCGAAGGCGGCUCACUGGCUCGAUACUGACGCUGAGGUGCGAAAGCGUGGGGAGCAAACAGGAUUAGAACCCCUGUAGUCCCA
This 448-nucleotide ribosomal RNA is filed under the name uncultured organism. RNAcentral's name for it is "partial 16S ribosomal RNA". It matches the Rfam family "Bacterial small subunit ribosomal RNA", at positions 332 to 797 of the family's 1533-position model. The record is from RNAcentral.